GGGUUGUGAGGUUAAGCGACUAAGCGUACACGGUGGAUGCCCUGGCAGUCAGAGGCGAUGAAGGACGUGCUAAUCUGCGAUAAGCGUCGGUAAGGUGAUAUGAACCGUUAUAACCGGCGAUUUCCGAAUGGGGAAACCCAGUGUGAUUCGUCACACUAUCAUUAACUGAAUCCAUAGGUUAAUGAGGCGAACCGGGGGAACUGAAACAUCUAAGUACCCCGAGGAAAAGAAAUCAACCGAGAUUCCCCCAGUAGCGGCGAGCGAACGGGGAGCAGCCCAGAGCCUGAAUCAGUGUGUGUGUUAGUGGAAGCGUCUGGAAAGGCGCGCGAUACAGGGUGACAGCCCCGUACACAAAAAUGCACAUGCUGUGAGCUCGAUGAGUAGGGCGGGACACGUGGUAUCCUGUCUGAAUAUGGGGGACCAUCCUCCAAGGCUAAAUACUCCUGACUGACCGAUAGUGAACCAGUACCGUGAGGGAAAGGCGAAAAGAACCCCGGCGAGGGGAGUGAAAAAGAACCUGAAACCGUGUACGUACAAGCAGUGGGAGCACGCUUAGGCGUGUGACUGCGUACCUUUUGUAUAAUGGGUCAGCGACUUAUAUUCUGUAGCAAGGUUAACCGAAUAGGGGAGCCGAAGGGAAACCGAGUCUUAACUGGGCGUUAAGUUGCAGGGUAUAGACCCGAAACCCGGUGAUCUAGCCAUGGGCAGGUUGAAGGUUGGGUAACACUAACUGGAGGACCGAACCGACUAAUGUUGAAAAUUAGCGGAUGACUUGUGGCUGGGGGUGAAAGGCCAAUCAAACCGGGAGAUAGCUGGUUCUCCCCGAAAGCUAUUUAGGUAGCGCCUCGUGAAUUCAUCUCCGGGGGUAGAGCACUGUUUCGGCAAGGGGGUCAUCCCGACUUACCAACCCGAUGCAAACUGCGAAUACCGGAGAAUGUUAUCACGGGAGACACACGGCGGGUGCUAACGUCCGUCGUGAAGAGGGAAACAACCCAGACCGCCAGCUAAGGUCCCAAAGUCAUGGUUAAGUGGGAAACGAUGUGGGAAGGCCCAGACAGCCAGGAUGUUGGCUUAGAAGCAGCCAUCAUUUAAAGAAAGCGUAAUAGCUCACUGGUCGAGUCGGCCUGCGCGGAAGAUGUAACGGGGCUAAACCAUGCACCGAAGCUGCGGCAGCGACGCUGAUGCGUUGUUGGGUAGGGGAGCGUUCUGUAAGCCUGUGAAGGUGUGCUGUGAGGCAUGCUGGAGGUAUCAGAAGUGCGAAUGCUGACAUAAGUAACGAUAAAGCGGGUGAAAAGCCCGCUCGCCGGAAGACCAAGGGUUCCUGUCCAACGUUAAUCGGGGCAGGGUGAGUCGACCCCUAAGGCGAGGCCGAAAGGCGUAGUCGAUGGGAAACAGGUUAAUAUUCCUGUACUUGGUGUUACUGCGAAGGGGGACGGAGAAGGCUAUGUUGGCCGGGCGACGGUUGUCCCGGUUUAAGCGUGUAGGCUGGUUUUCCAGGCAAAUCCGGAAAAUCAAGGCUGAGGCGUGAUGACGAGGCACUACGGUGCUGAAGCAACAAAUGCCCUGCUUCCAGGAAAAGCCUCUAAGCAUCAGGUAACAUCAAAUCGUACCCCAAACCGACACAGGUGGUCAGGUAGAGAAUACCAAGGCGCUUGAGAGAACUCGGGUGAAGGAACUAGGCAAAAUGGUGCCGUAACUUCGGGAGAAGGCACGCUGAUAUGUAGGUGAAGCGACUUGCUCGUGGAGCUGAAAUCAGUCGAAGAUACCAGCUGGCUGCAACUGUUUAUUAAAAACACAGCACUGUGCAAACACGAAAGUGGACGUAUACGGUGUGACGCCUGCCCGGUGCCGGAAGGUUAAUUGAUGGGGUUAGCGCAAGCGAAGCUCUUGAUCGAAGCCCCGGUAAACGGCGGCCGUAACUAUAACGGUCCUAAGGUAGCGAAAUUCCUUGUCGGGUAAGUUCCGACCUGCACGAAUGGCGUAAUGAUGGCCAGGCUGUCUCCACCCGAGACUCAGUGAAAUUGAACUCGCUGUGAAGAUGCAGUGUACCCGCGGCAAGACGGAAAGACCCCGUGAACCUUUACUAUAGCUUGACACUGAACAUUGAGCCUUGAUGUGUAGGAUAGGUGGGAGGCUUUGAAGUGUGGACGCCAGUCUGCAUGGAGCCGACCUUGAAAUACCACCCUUUAAUGUUUGAUGUUCUAACGUGGACCCGUAAUCCGGGUUGCGGACAGUGUCUGGUGGGUAGUUUGACUGGGGCGGUCUCCUCCUAAAGAGUAACGGAGGAGCACGAAGGUUGGCUAAUCCUGGUCGGACAUCAGGAGGUUAGUGCAAUGGCAUAAGCCAGCUUGACUGCGAGCGUGACGGCGCGAGCAGGUGCGAAAGCAGGUCAUAGUGAUCCGGUGGUUCUGAAUGGAAGGGCCAUCGCUCAACGGAUAAAAGGUACUCCGGGGAUAACAGGCUGAUACCGCCCAAGAGUUCAUAUCGACGGCGGUGUUUGGCACCUCGAUGUCGGCUCAUCACAUCCUGGGGCUGAAGUAGGUCCCAAGGGUAUGGCUGUUCGCCAUUUAAAGUGGUACGCGAGCUGGGUUUAGAACGUCGUGAGACAGUUCGGUCCCUAUCUGCCGUGGGCGCUGGAGAACUGAGGGGGGCUGCUCCUAGUACGAGAGGACCGGAGUGGACGCAUCACUGGUGUUCGGGUUGUCAUGCCAAUGGCACUGCCCGGUAGCUAAAUGCGGAAGAGAUAAGUGCUGAAAGCAUCUAAGCACGAAACUUGCCCCGAGAUGAGUUCUCCCUGACUCCUUGAGAGUCCUGAAGGAACGUUGAAGACGACGACGUUGAUAGGCCGGGUGUGUAAGCGCAGCGAUGCGUUGAGCUAACCGGUACUAAUGAACCGUGAGGCUUAACCUUACAACGCCGAAG
Molecule: ribosomal RNA, 2922 nt
Filed under: Escherichia coli O104:H4
Lineage: Bacteria; Pseudomonadati; Pseudomonadota; Gammaproteobacteria; Enterobacterales; Enterobacteriaceae
Description: bacterial LSU rRNA
Rfam family: Bacterial large subunit ribosomal RNA
Source: RNAcentral